RNAcentral lists this unclassified non-coding RNA (352 nucleotides) under soil metagenome. RNAcentral's name for it is "partial contains 5.8S ribosomal RNA, internal transcribed spacer 2, and large subunit ribosomal RNA". The stretch from base 1 to 120 matches the Rfam family "5.8S ribosomal RNA", at positions 35 to 154 of the family's 154-position model. The record is from RNAcentral.
GAUGAAGAACGUAGCGAAAUGCGAUAAGUAAUGUGAAUUGCAGAAUUCAGUGAAUCAUCGAAUCUUUGAACGCACAUUGCGCCCGCCAGUAUUCUGGCGAGCAUGCCUGUUCGAGCGUCAUUACAACCCUCAGGCCCCCGGGCCUGGCGUUGGGGAUCGGCGGAGCCCCCCGUGGGCACACGCCGUCCCCCAAAUGCAGUGGCGGUCCCGCCGCAGCUUCCAUCGCGUAGUAGCUAACACCUCGCGACUGGAGAGCGGCGCGGCCACGCCGUAAAACACCCAACUCUUCUGAAGUUGACCUCGAAUCAGGUAGGAAUACCCGCUGAACUUAAGCAUAUCAAUAAGCGGAGGA